CAGCCGUAAACGAUGCGCGUUAGGUGUAUCGACGACCACGAGUCGUCGAGGUGCCGAAGGGAAACCGUGAAACGUGCCGCCUGGGAAGUACGGUCGCAAGGCUGAAACUUAAAGGAAUUGGCGGGGGGAGCACCACAACGGGUGGAGCCUGCGGUUUAAUUGGACUCAACGCCGGGAAGCUCACCGGAUAGGACAGCGGAAUGAUAGCCGGGCCGAAGACCUUGCUUGACCAGCUGAGAGGAGGUGCAUGGCGUCAGUGACU
Molecule: ribosomal RNA, 262 nt
Filed under: uncultured archaeon
Lineage: Archaea
Description: partial 16S ribosomal RNA
Rfam family: Archaeal small subunit ribosomal RNA
Source: RNAcentral